This 468-nucleotide ribosomal RNA is filed under the name uncultured bacterium. Its description in RNAcentral is "partial 16S ribosomal RNA". It matches the Rfam family "Bacterial small subunit ribosomal RNA", at positions 28 to 507 of the family's 1533-position model. The record is from RNAcentral.
GACGAACGCUGGCGGCGUGCUUAACACAUGCAAGUCGAACGGAAAGGCCCUGCUUUUGUGGGGUGCUCGAGUGGCGAACGGGUGAGUAACACGUGAGUAACCUGCCCUUGACUUUGGGACAACUUCAGGAAACUGGGGCUAAUACCGCAUAGGAGCUCCCGCUGCACGGUGGGGGUUGGAAAGUUUCGGCGGUUGGGGAUGGACUCGCGGCUUAUCAGCCUGUUGGUGGGGUCGGGGCUUACCAAGGCCUUGACGGGUAGCCGGCCUGAGGGGGGGACCGGCCACAUUGGGGCUGGGAUACGGCCCAGAGUGCUACGGGAGGCAGCGGUGGGGAGUGUUGCGGAAUGGGGGGAAGCCUGAGGCAGCAACGCCGGGUGGGGGAUGACGGCCUUCGGGUUGGAAACCGCUUUCGCCUGUGACGAAGCGUGAGUGACGGUAAUGGGUAAAGAAGCACCGGCUAACUACGUG